GUGGCCAGCCGCCGCGGUAAUACCGGCAGCCCGAGUGAUGACCGAUCUUAUUGGGCCUAAAGCGUCCGUAGCUGGCUACGCAAGUCCGUCGGGAAAUCCACCCGCCCAACGGGUGGGCGUCCAGUAGAAACUGGCCGGCUUGGAACCGGAAGGCUCAGAGAGUACGUCCGGGGUAGGAGUGAAAUCCCGUAAUCCCGGACGAACUACCGAUGGCGAAAGCACUCUGAGAAGACGGCUUCGACAGUGAGGGACGAAAGCUCGGGUCUCAAACCGGAUUAGAAACCCUAGUAGUCC
This 294-nucleotide ribosomal RNA is filed under the name uncultured bacterium. RNAcentral describes it as "partial 16S ribosomal RNA". It matches the Rfam family "Archaeal small subunit ribosomal RNA", at positions 455 to 747 of the family's 1478-position model. The record is from RNAcentral.